UGAGGAACAUGACCUUUCGGCGGGGGAGAGCCGGCCCAACGGCCGGGUAAUACCGCGUACGACCUCUCGGGGACAUCCCCGGUUGGUGAAAGCAGCAAUGCACCGAAAGAGUGCCUCGCGGCCUAUCAGCUAGUUGGUGGGGUAACGGCUCACCAAGGCGACGACGGGUAGCUGGUCUGAGAGGAUGGCCAGCCACAUUGUGACUGAGACACGGCCCAGACUCCUACGGGAGCANCAGG
Molecule: ribosomal RNA, 239 nt
Filed under: uncultured bacterium
Lineage: Bacteria
Description: partial 16S ribosomal RNA
Rfam family: Bacterial small subunit ribosomal RNA
Source: RNAcentral